RNAcentral lists this long non-coding RNA (277 nucleotides) under Lotus japonicus. RNAcentral describes it as "long non-coding RNA (LJAP_LNC001453)". Lineage: Eukaryota; Viridiplantae; Streptophyta; Magnoliopsida; Fabales; Fabaceae. The record is from RNAcentral.
GGGUAGGGCAAAAUGAAAAAACAGUCUCAUACGGGUGAUAAUGGUCGGGUGCGGGUUAGGAAUUUAAAAUCCACUUGUACCCGAACCCGACCGCAUGUCAGUGUUGUGUGUUUAAAUUAAAACUACUUUUUAGCCUUGCAGCAGUCUGCACUCUACAAUUUGCGCAGAGAGGCAUUUGCUUUCUAUUUUUUUAAUAGCUAAAAAGUAAAAGUAGUCAUUAUUUAAUGCAUUUGUUUUUUGUAAAGAAGUGAUUGCAUGUCUUAAUCAAAGAAAAAGC